CCUACGGGUGGCAGCAGUGAGGAAUAUUGGUCAAUGGCCGUAAGGCUGAACCAGCCAAGUAGCGUGAGGGAAGACUGCCCUAUGGGUUGUAAACCUCUUUUAUGCGGGGAUAAAGGGGUCCACGGGGGGAUGUUUGCAGGUACCGCAUGAAUAAGGACCGGCUAAUUCCGUGCCAGCAGCCGCGGUAAUACGGAGGGUCCGGGCGUUAUCCGGAUUUAUUGGGUUUAAAGGGAGCGUAGGCCGGUCCUUAAGCGUGCCGUGAAAUUCUGUGGCUCAACCAUGAGAGUGCGGCGCGAACUGGAGAUCUUGAGUGGGCGGAAGGCAGGCGGAAUGCGUGGUGUAGCGGUGAAAUGCUUAGAUAUCACGAAGAACCCCGAUUGCGAAGGCAGCCUGCCGGCGCGUGACUGACGCUGAGGCACGAAAGCGUGGGGAUCGAACAGGAUUAGAUACCCUAGUAGUC
This 460-nucleotide ribosomal RNA is filed under the name uncultured bacterium. RNAcentral describes it as "partial 16S ribosomal RNA". It matches the Rfam family "Bacterial small subunit ribosomal RNA", at positions 338 to 795 of the family's 1533-position model. The record is from RNAcentral.